AUUGGAUGAGAAAUGAGGGCCUCAUUUUUACAUGAGACGACAAAACUAAGAGAAUGGUAUUAAUGGAAGAACAUAGCUAUAAAGAUUUCCUAAAGGGUUAUAUACAGGAUACUCUCCCAGAUAGUGUAGACAAACACCCAAUGCAUGAGUUGCAAGCAGAAGUUGAUAGAAUUUGCAAAUCCAAGAAUUUUCCGGACUUUUGGAAGCAUCAUCCAAUUAAACCCCUUCUGCCCAAGACUUUUUGUGUAUGUCAAAGCGUGUAAUAGCCUGAUUUCCAUUUGACCAAUCGUUGAAAAAAACACUGCACCCACCUACUACCUUGAAAAGAAAUUAGUGGCCUGGGCUACAAGAAUACUGCAGCAAACAGAGAAUACAAUUAAUGUGGCAACGCAUGUACUGCAUAAACUAUGAACUGUAACAUGGGAAACUGGUGAUGUAAUCGUAACGUACGACUUUGAAAGUCUAUACCCAUCCCUGAAGAUCGAAC
This 487-nucleotide long non-coding RNA is filed under the name Androctonus crassicauda. Lineage: Eukaryota; Metazoa; Arthropoda; Arachnida; Scorpiones; Buthidae. The record is from RNAcentral.